This 91-nucleotide transfer RNA is filed under the name Ruminococcus sp. Its description in RNAcentral is "tRNA-Ser". It matches the Rfam family "tRNA". Rfam says of the family: Transfer RNA (tRNA) molecules are approximately 80 nucleotides in length. Their secondary structure includes four short double-helical elements and three loops (D, anti-codon, and T loops). Lineage: Bacteria; Bacillati; Bacillota; Clostridia; Eubacteriales; Oscillospiraceae. RNAcentral also lists the same sequence under 1 other name. The record is from RNAcentral.
GCAGAUGUAUCGAAGUGGCCAUAACGAGAACGACUCGAAAUCGUUUGAGCAGUAACAUGCUCCGUGGGUUCGAAUCCCACCAUCUGCGCCA